This 199-nucleotide ribosomal RNA is filed under the name uncultured methanogenic archaeon. RNAcentral describes it as "partial 16S ribosomal RNA". It matches the Rfam family "Archaeal small subunit ribosomal RNA", at positions 590 to 788 of the family's 1478-position model. The record is from RNAcentral. Lineage: Archaea; Methanobacteriati; Methanobacteriota.
AACUUGGAACCGGGAGAGGUUAGAGGUACUUCCGGGGUAGGAGUGAAAUCUUGUAAUCCUGGGGGGACCACCUGUGGCGAAGGCGUCUUACCGGAACGGAUUCGACGGUGAGGGACGAAAGCUGGGGGCGCGAACCGGAUUAGAUACCCGGGUAGUCCUGGCCGUAAACGAUGCUCGCUUGGUGUUGGGAAUGGUGCGA